RNAcentral lists this ribosomal RNA (344 nucleotides) under Ixodes muris (mouse tick). RNAcentral describes it as "partial 16S ribosomal RNA". The record is from RNAcentral. Lineage: Eukaryota; Metazoa; Arthropoda; Arachnida; Ixodida; Ixodidae.
GGUAUUGAAAUAAGAUUUUAAAUGGGUGCUAAGAGAAUGAUUAAACAAUUCAAAAAUAAAAAUUAGGGACAAGAAGACCCUAUGAAUUUUUUUAUUUUUUAUAGACUUUCUUUAAUUAAAUAAUUAAAUUUAAUUUUUUUAGUGCAAAAGAAAUAAAUUUUAUUAAAUUUAUUAAAAAAUUUAAUUGGGGUGAUGAAAAAAGAAUAAAUAUCUUUUUAUGUAUUAAAAAUUGGUUCCGUUUUUAACGAUUAAAUGAAAAAAAUACUCUAGGGAUAACAGCGUAAUAAUUUUGGAUAGUUCAUAUAGAUGAAAUAGUUUGCGACCUCGAUGUUGGAUUAGGAUUC